CUUCCUACGGGGCGCAGCAGUGGGGGAUAUUGCACAAUGGGGGAAACCCUGAUGCAGCGAUGCCGCGUGAAUGAAGACGGCCUUCGGGUUGUAAAGUUCUGUCGCAGGGGACGAAAAUGACGGUACCCUGCAAGAAAGCUCCGGCUAACUACGUGCCAGCAGCCGCGGUAAUACGUAGGUGGCAAGCGUUGUCCGGAUUUACUGGGUGUAAAGGGCGUGUAGCCGGGCUGACAAGUCAGAUGUGAAAUCCGGGGGCUCAACCCCCGAACUGCAUUUGAAACUGUUGGUCUUGAGUAUCGGAGAGG
Molecule: ribosomal RNA, 305 nt
Filed under: uncultured bacterium
Lineage: Bacteria
Description: bacterial SSU rRNA
Rfam family: Bacterial small subunit ribosomal RNA
Source: RNAcentral